CAGUUUUGGCGGAGCCAUCCUUGGGAUACCACCCUUGUAGUACUGGGACUCUAACCAUAGGCCAUGAAUCUGGUCUUGGGACACUGUCAGGUGGGCAGUUUGACUGGGGCGGUCGCCUCCCAAAAGGUAACGGAGGCGCUCAAAGGUUCUCUCAGUACGGUCGGAAAUCGUACGUAGAGUGUACAGGCAAAAGAGAGCUUGAUUGCAAGACAUACAGGUCGAGCAAGGAUGAAAAUCGGACUUAGUGAUCCGGUGGUUCUGCGUGGAAGGGCCAUCGCUCAACGGAUAAAAGCUACCCUGGGGAUAACAGGCUUAUCUCCCCAAAGAGUCCACAUCGACGGGGAGGUUUGGCACCUCGAUGUCGGCUCAUCACAUCCUGGGGCUGUAGUAGGUCCCAAGGGUUGGGCUGUUCGCCCAUUAAAGUGGUACGCGAGCUGGGUUCAGAACGUCGUGAGACAGUUCGGUCCCUAUCCGUCGCAGGCGUAGGAAAUUUGAGAAGACCUGUCCUUAGUACGAGAGGACCGGGAUGGACGUACCUCUGGUGUACCAGUUGUUCUGCCAAGGGCAUGGCUGGGUAGCUAUGUACGGAAUGGAUAAGCGCUGAAAGCAUCUAAGCGCGAAGCCAACUUCAAGAUAAGAUUUCCCACCGCAAGGGUAAGACCCCAGAAAGACUAUCUGGUUG
Molecule: ribosomal RNA, 682 nt
Filed under: Clostridioides difficile
Lineage: Bacteria; Bacillati; Bacillota; Clostridia; Peptostreptococcales; Peptostreptococcaceae
Description: bacterial LSU rRNA
Rfam family: Bacterial large subunit ribosomal RNA
Source: RNAcentral